This 293-nucleotide ribosomal RNA is filed under the name uncultured bacterium. RNAcentral's name for it is "partial 16S ribosomal RNA". It matches the Rfam family "Bacterial small subunit ribosomal RNA", at positions 505 to 796 of the family's 1533-position model. The record is from RNAcentral.
GUGUCAGCCGCCGCGGUAAUACGUAGGGCGCAAGCGUUGUCCGGAAUUAUUGGGCGUAAAGAGCUCGUAGGCGGUCUGUCACGUCUGCCGUGAAAACCCGAGGCUUAACCUCGUGGCUUGCGGUGGAUACGGGCAGACUAGAGGUAGGUAGGGGAGAACGGAAUUCCCGGUGUAGCGGUGAAAUGCGCAGAUAUCGGGAGGAACACCGGUGGCGAAGGCGGUUCUCUGGGCCUUACCUGACGCUGAGGAGCGAAAGCAUGGGGAGCGAACAGGAUUAGAAACCCUUGUAGUCC